AGAGUUUGAUCCUGGCUCAGAGCGAACGUUAGCGGCAUGCCUAACACAUGCAAGUCGAACGGAAACGAUGGGAGCUUGCUCCCAGGCGUCGAGUGGCGGACGGGUGAGUAAUACUUAGGAAUCUGCCCAUUAGUGGGGGAUAACUCGAGGAAACUCGGGCUAAUACCGCAUAAUCCCUACGGGGCAAAGCAGGGGACCUUCGGGCCUUGCGCUAAUAGAUGAGCCUAUGUCGGAUUAGCUAGUUGGUGGGGUAAUGGCCUACCAAGGCAACGAUCUAUAGCUGGUCUGAGAGGACGAUCAGCCACACUGGGACUGAGACACGGCCCAGACUCCUACGGGAGGCAGCAGUGGGGAAUAUUGCACAAUGGGCGCAAGCCUGAUGCAGCAAUACCGCGUGUGUGAAGAAGGCCUGCGGGUUGUAAAGCACUUUCAGGAGUGAGGAAGGUUGGUGGUUAAUACCCAUUAACUGUGACGUUAGCUCCAGAAGAAGCACCGGCUAACUCUGUGCCAGCAGCCGCGGUAAUACAGAGGGUGCAAGCGUUAAUCGGAAUUACUGGGCGUAAAGCGCGCGUAGGUGGUUUGUUAAGUCGGAUGUGAAAGCCCUGGGCUCAACCUAGGAAUUGCAUUCGAAACUGGCGAACUAGAGUAUGGUAGAGGGAAGGGGAAUUCCAGGUGUAGCGGUGAAAUGCGUAGAUAUCUGGAGGAACAUCAGUGGCGAAGGCGCCUUCCUGGACUAAUACUGACACUGAGGUGCGAAAGCGUGGGUAGCAAACAGGAUUAGAUACCCUGGUAGUCCACGCCGUAAACGAUGUCAACUAGGUGUUGGAGGGUUUAACCCUUUGGUACCGCAGCUAACGCGUUAAGUUGACCGCCUGGGGAGUACGGUCGCAAGAUUAAAACUCAAAGGAAUUGACGGGGGCCCGCCGCACAAGCGGUGGAGCAUGUGGUUUAAUUCGAUCCAACGCGAAGAACCUUACCUACCCUUGACAUUGACAGAAUCCCUGGGAGAGGAUACGGAGUGCCUUCGGGUACGCUAAGACAGGUGGUGCAUGGCUGUCGUCAGCUCGUGUCGUGAGAUGUUGGGUUAAGUCCCGCAACGAGCGCAACCCUCGGAUUUAGUUGCCAUCAUUAAGUUGGGCACUCUAGAUCGACUGCCGGUGACAAACCGGAGGAAGGUGGGGACGACGUCAAGUCAUCAUGCCCCUUACGUCCUGGGCUACACACGUCCUACAAUGGCAAAUACAGAGGGCAGCGAAGCAGCGAUGUGGAGCGAAUCCCAGAAAGCUCGUCUCAGUUCGGAUUGCAGGCUGAAACUCGCCUGCAUGAAGUAGGAAUCGCUAGUAAACGCAGAUCAGCAUGCUGCGUUGAAUACGUUCCCGGGCCUUGUACACACCGCCCGUCACACCACGAAAGUUUGUUCAACCCGAAGUCGGUAGCUUAACCUUCGGGAGGGCGCUCACCACUUUGUGAUUCAUGACUGGGGUGAAGUCGUAAUAAGGUAGCC
Molecule: ribosomal RNA, 1504 nt
Filed under: uncultured prokaryote
Description: partial 16S ribosomal RNA
Rfam family: Bacterial small subunit ribosomal RNA
Source: RNAcentral